GACGGAGGGUGCUAGCGUUGUUCGGAAUGACUGGGCGUAAAGGGCGCGUAGGCGGCCUGGUAAGUCGGGUGUGAAAGCCCGGGGCUCAACCCCGGAACGGCACCCGAUACUGCGGGUCUCGAGUCCGGGAGAGGUGAGUGGAAUUCCUAGUGUAGAGGUGAAAUUCGUAGAUAUUAGGAAGAACACCAGUGGCGAAGGCGGCUCACUGGCUCGGUACUGACGCUGAGGCGCGAAAGCGUGGGGAGCAAACAGG
This 253-nucleotide ribosomal RNA is filed under the name uncultured bacterium. Its description in RNAcentral is "partial 16S ribosomal RNA". It matches the Rfam family "Bacterial small subunit ribosomal RNA", at positions 524 to 776 of the family's 1533-position model. The record is from RNAcentral.